UACGGUUUUUUUGAUCCAAACAGGGGCUUAGUGAACUGGAUAAACAACUUUCAAGCUAGGUGCCUCUGUCAACGAUAUGUGCCUAAAGAUAACUGGUACGUGUGCUCCAUGAGCAAAUCUCUUGGACUCAUGGAGUUACUUUACAUUUCAACACCUAAGACAUUUGAUGAGGCCACCACCGAGUGCGCAGGGAGAGGCAGCAUUCUGGCCAAUCUCCAGAGCAUAAACCAUACAGAGUGCGCAAGGUCAGUGCUUGGACCACGAAAUGGUCAAUGCAACAGUUCCUCAAGCGAUAACUGCAGAAAUGCCUCUUAUGGCUGCGAAACCAAUACUUGCAAUGUGUGGGUUGCUCUACAACGACCAUCUAAAAAUUGGACAUGGGUGUUGCCUGUUCCAUCCACACCGAGUACAAUUCCCUGGAAAAAUUCAAUAACAGGAGUUAGUGGACAGCGAAAAUGUGGUUACUUUUCACCUGAAGAAGAGGGUUUCGGAAUCGAAUCUUGCACAAUGAAGCUAAGUUUCUACUGUCAGAGAUAUACACCAAAUGCGCCCUCAGGCAUAGCUGUCAACUCAACGGACACUGGAAUAUAUGCACGCAUAUUGCAGCCACAGAUACUACGAGAUUGGGUACCAGAAUUCUGCUUUGUGUACGACAAAAAUGACACUGUGGCUAAGCCAACUGUAGUUUGUAACAAUAACGAGUCAAUCGUGUUGUCGGGCCUGGAAACCAAUACUUUGUACAGGGUCAGAGCAUUCUUCAAAACUACGAUCGGACACAAUAGUAGCAUGUCCCUUGUAGUCAGCAUUGGAACAGUGCCUAAAGGUAAGGGAUAUCAUUACAUCAAACACCGACCACGAACAGGGGUGAAGAAUUUUGUGAGAUUCGUGUUGUACCUCGCACAUUCCUUUUUGCAUGGUCUCUUUCCCCAAAUGACGUUCAUAUGUCAAUUGCAUGAUUCUCAGGUCAAGCAUUGCUGAAUCAGGUUAGGGAUUAGUUACCCGUGUGCCCAAUUCAUUUGGUUGAUGGUGCAGUGAUCAAAGGGAAGAAGUUAAGAAAUGAAAAAAACAUUUCUUCUCAAUUAUCCCAUGGGAGAUUUCCUUCUCCACAAAUAUGCAUUGGAAUAUUAACAGGCCUUUUUAAUGCAGACCGCAAAUACUAUGUACGUAUGAACAAUUUACUGAUACAUACGUGAUCUGAAUAUGUUUUUAUUAGCGCCAACAUCGCCUGACAAUUACGUCCUCUCAAGUACUUCCAUCACUGUCUUUAUAGGCCGAACAGAAGGCAAAAACCUUCCCAUACUCCAGUAUUGUGUGUACGGAAGGCCUGCAAAUGAUAUAUCUGGGAAUAUGACAUCGAUACCAGUGUGCAACGCGUCUGAAAAUGUUACCUUGAUUGGCCUGGCUCCAGGCAUGACCUAUAAUGUCACCACCUAUGUAAGCAAUGCCUAUGGAGACAGUGCUCAAUCGACCUCCACUCGCAUCACCACGUUGCAUCAAGCACCAACAACUGAUCAAGUCGACGCAACCAGUGGCUACCAAGCUAGCGCAAGCGGCUCCAAAUCUGCAGUGAUAAUUGCGGGAGGGUCUGGCGCAGGACUGCUGGUGCUGGCUGCGACGGUUUUCCUGCUAUGGAAAUUAAAGUUGACACCCGCGAAACCUGAUCCUGUGCUGACUACCUGCCAACUGGACGUAAGAACUCAAUCUGUUUCCCAUGAUGAUGAACUUGAUUUGGUUCAGAACACGCGCACUAGUAUGGAAACCAAUGAGGCGUACGAGAGCUGGAUCCUGGCUAGGAAUGAUGCAUAUGGCUGUGUGGAUUUGCGCGAGAAUGAUGUUCUUCGUGCCGGAUGCGGAGCUGGGCGUGCAGAGGAAGGGGGACCGGCCACAGAAGAACAGCAUUUUUAUGUCAGCAUCCAAUAACGCCAAAUGUUUUUCACAAUUUUGACCGACUGAUACAUAUCCUCAACGAAAUGCAAAUGAUACAGUAGCAUUUAACUCUGUUGUUGAGCCAAUAGUAAUAUGUAAAGCGAAAAAGGACCUUUAAAAUACUAGCUAUGACUAACAGUCCACAAAGGUACAGAGAUAAUAUAAAGCCAGGUGAAGUGUCAGAUCAGUGUCAUGUCGUUAAAUGUCUCAAUAUACUUGUCAGUCUUGUGCCGUGCUGUCUCACUAUCUGAUGUUAUAAUUAUUAACUCGUUACCUUGGCGGACAGUUAAUUAUAACUAGUAACUUAUAGGGCCUUUUUUCUCUUUGCACAAAACUGUAUCAUGGUAUACUUUUUCAUGGCAAGCACGCGAUAUGUUGCAGUCUUUCUGAGUUUUUUCUUCAUAUCUCUCUGCCUCUAACUCCAGUAGCGCAUGCAUUUAUCACUGAUAUACUCUCAAAUAUUUAUUGCAGCUCUUGUGUCCUGAUGUCACGCAUCAGUAUGGAUAUCAUUUGUAACUUUCACAAGUAAGUUCAGUGCUAAACCGUUCGGAGCGAGGUCUUUGAAGUAAUUUGCUAUACAUGUAUGUUGACGGUGAUUCGUAACCGAAUCUCAAUAUCUUUAUCACCGGAAGAAUUACCAUUGACAUUAUAUAUCCCACCUGUGCAUUUAAUCCCUGUCAGUAAAUCCAUUGCAUAGCAGAAAAUUGCAGCUCGUUCGUUAUAAACUUGCAGCAGGUGUAUUUUUUUUGCUUAUUUUUAUGAUUCAAAAGUCGCUAGAAUUUUAUUCACACUAUGUUUCUUUUUGGUAGCACUUCUCUCUAAAUUUCGUAUGCAUAAUCAGUAUAUCCGUUCACUGUGGUUAUGGAUUGUUUUAUAAACAUGUGCAUAACAGUAGUGGUACUAGUGA
Long non-coding RNA from Sycon ciliatum, 2833 nucleotides. RefSeq lists it as uncharacterized. The record is from RefSeq and is a predicted model, not a curated record. The transcript has 5 exons. Lineage: Eukaryota; Metazoa; Porifera; Calcarea; Leucosolenida; Sycettidae.